Molecule: ribosomal RNA, 136 nt
Filed under: uncultured bacterium
Lineage: Bacteria
Description: partial 16S ribosomal RNA
Rfam family: Bacterial small subunit ribosomal RNA
Source: RNAcentral
UGGGGAAUCUUGCGCAAUGGGCGAAAGCCUGACGCAGCCAUGCCGCGUGAAUGACGAAGGUCUUAGGAUUGUAAAAUUCUUUCACCGGGGACGAUAAUGACGGUACCCGGAGAAGAAGCCCCGGCUAACUACGUGC